Molecule: transfer RNA, 69 nt
Filed under: Sphaerodactylus townsendi
Lineage: Eukaryota; Metazoa; Chordata; Lepidosauria; Squamata; Sphaerodactylidae
Description: tRNA-Val
Rfam family: tRNA
About the family: Transfer RNA (tRNA) molecules are approximately 80 nucleotides in length. Their secondary structure includes four short double-helical elements and three loops (D, anti-codon, and T loops).
Source: RNAcentral
GCUGUGGCACAGUAGCAGGACAUCUGCAUUACAUGCAGAAAGUCCCAGGUUCAAACCCUGGCAUCAUCA